UUUUCUCAUAUUUACGAUUUGUUCUUGUAGCUGAUAGAUGCCAGGAGCGAUAUAAACAGCUCUGAGAUAAAAAAAAAAGAAAGGUUAUUGAAACAGCCAAGUGGUAGUGAUACUAAAAGAAAGUAAGAUUGGUCACUGUAUGAAGCAAUGACAUUUCUGGAAUCCUAUUUAAUUGAUAAAGAAUUCUUCUAUAAAGAAAAUUGAUUUAAUUGAUGAAGAUACUACUUUUCUAUUAUGGAAACACAGGAGCACGCCAACAUUGAUCAUCUUCUGCUGUUCAUUUUCCACCAGAAAAGCAAAGAAAGGCCUGUUGAAGACUUGACAAUUUUAUAUUUAAUAUGAUGGAUGAAAAUAAAUAAAACUCUUUAAAUAUGCCC
Stegodyphus dumicola is the source of this 377-nucleotide long non-coding RNA. The record is from RefSeq and is a predicted model, not a curated record. Lineage: Eukaryota; Metazoa; Arthropoda; Arachnida; Araneae; Eresidae.